Molecule: RNA transcript, 2844 nt
Organism: Heterocephalus glaber (naked mole-rat)
Lineage: Eukaryota; Metazoa; Chordata; Mammalia; Rodentia; Bathyergidae
Source: RefSeq, a predicted model, not a curated record
AUGUAUCUAAAAGUGAAUCUUGAUUUACUAUAAUUGUCUCAUAUAUUUUAUGUGUCUUUGGCUUGUUAGUCUGAUUGUUAACCUGUGUUUAUGAUGAUUAAUCUUAUAAGGACUUAUAAAUAAAUGAAUCUGAUGCUGGCAAAAAAGGGAUAUAGGGGAAGGAAGAAAAAAGAAUUGAGAUGUGUUAUGUACCUGUACCCAUUCUCCACAAUGAAUGUAAUCAUUACACACAAACAUAUACUAAAAACACUUUUUAAAUCCAGGCUGCCCCAGGUGGCAUUUCUAAUAGAACGCUCUGUAAAGCUGGGACCCCAUGUGCUGUGACACUGGGGGGACCUCUGUCUCAAAGAAAAACGGUGGGCAUGGAACUUGUAACCACCGUCUGAGCUGCAGAAUGUGGGGAAGCACAUCUAUCAUCUUUUUUCAAGGAACUAAACAGCGUACGUAUAAACCUGUAGUAAUUGGCUUCCUUUCAUACUUUCCCUCUCUGUCUCUGUCUCCCUUUCCCCUUUCUCCUCUUCCAGGGCAAAGAUGACCCCUACAUAAUGGUGAGGGAUUAAUUUACCCACAAGAUAAAACAUAUAUAUCUAAUAAUAUAUACAGAUCCUUGAGGAAACAUGGACAUUCGCCUUUAUACUGCAGACUUUAAUAUACUUGAAUAAUUUAUAUCACACACACAAAUCACUAAAGACAUACAUCUGAAUAACACAGCUUUUUAAUGAGCUUAGACAGACUGCAUCCAUGGUGAAGACCUACUGAUUUGAAGCACACGUGGACUAUUUAUGAAGUUUGUCAUGUAAUUGUCCAUGACCCAUUUGACACAUUUCAAAAGAUGGGCUUCAGAUAGGGAUGGAACAAGAGGAUUUCGGCUGUGAGAGUAACACUGGGCACCCAAAGGCCUUAAAAUCCAUGUGGUAGGGUGGGAAGUGGAGAGUGGAGUCGGUUGGGGGGGAGAUAAACUGCACAGGCAGGUCAGAGCCAGGAGCUGGGCCACAAGAAGCAGGGACUGUGGGGGAUCCAGGCUCUGAAGAAUGACACACUUGGGAGUGCCUGGUCCUGUGACAUAAGAGAUGUGUGACUGAAUUGCUCAGCUUUUUCUAUUCUCUCUCCAUUCAGAAGUGUGGACAGUGAUGCCUGGCCCCCAGACUUAUUCGAUAGGAACUAAGCAGCUAUCACAAAGUUUCCACCAUACAGCACAUUGGUGUAGGGCACCUUGGCUUCUGUAGUGAUGCUCAGGGCCCAUAGGGAAGGCUCUAGGAGCCACGCAGCACUAGGCAGGCAGAUGGGAGGAGUCUGGACCAAGCAGCACCUUUGCAGACCUUGACUGUGGGAGGCAGCCUCCCAUCUGCCUCCAUGUUGGGUCCUCAACUACUGGUAAUCACAUCCUGUGUAGUCCCUGCCACGUUAUGCUAGGGUCAGUCUGUGUGGCCAGGAGCGUACAGCAGAAGUGACAGUGUAGCACUUCCGGUGUCGGGGCAUAAAAGACCACAGCUCAAGUUGUAGUCUUAAUCAUUCAUUCCCCACCUCCUCCCUCCCUCCUUCCCUCCCUCCCUAUCCCAGACUGCCUUGCUCUGAGAGAAAGGAGCUGUUCUGUCAGGAAAACUCAGGAAGCCUGUGGGAAGACCCAGUGGUGAAGAACUGAAGUCUCCAGCCAGCAGUCAGCAAGAAGCUGGGGUCUGGCAACACCUGUGUGAAUGAGCUUGGAGAUGAGUGCCUUGGCCUGAACCAUGCAGUUUGGAUGGUGGAAUACAAGUCAGGUUUCCAGAGAAGAGCAGAAGUACUUGGGUCAGGAAACCGCUUCAGAAACUGAUUGGAGAAAACGUGAUGAAUGGUGAGUGGGCUGGUGCAAGAGGAUCCUGAAGGCAACCAAGAGGUCUUGCAGAAGCCGUCAGAACCGAAGUGGAGUCACCUGUGUCAAAUCCUAACAGAAAUAAAUAAAUAAAGCUAGGAGGUUAUGACCGAAGGGAAUCUCAUGCCUGUAGGCCUGCUAAUAAGAACUCUGACAAAAGACUUCCAGAACCACGGCCUUGUUUGCAGGCCACUUCAUAGUUCUUCAAGGACAUCUGCCCAGCACCUACUGUCCAACUAUAUUGGUCAGUGACUGCUAGAGAAGCAGAUUUCAUCCAAGAUCUACAAAUAUAUACAAAUUUACAAAAUUGGCUUACAAUGGCCAUCUGCAGAGUCGGGUGUGUAAGAGCGCAAAAGGGCUGUCCGUGCACUGGAGAUCUGAAGGAUCCAGGCAAAGGCCUGGAGGUCAGUGUGUGUCCUGUGCAAGUCCUUAUCAGGAGGCCACAGGGUCUGUGAUGGAGGCUGAAGAGUCUGCACUGGAAGCCAGGAGAUGAUGGCCAAGGUGAAGGUGAAGGUGAAGUGUAGGGCUCCCCUAGAAACAGCAGUAAGCCUUCCUGCUUCAUUUCCCUUUUACACCAUUUAGGCAAAGAGCCUUCCUAGGGUGGGGCUUCUGACUUCAGUAAAUCCCCGAAGCACGCCCAGAACUGUGCUGAUCUAAUUUAGAUGGGGGUUUCUUACUGAAGUUGACACUAUCGGUUAACUAUCACACCAGCCUCGUGCUGAUGCCACCCUUGUUAUUGAUCCUUGAAGUCAAUAAUUGUUUCGGGCCGGGGAUUUAGCUCAGUGGUUCUGCCGCCUGCUUCCCAAGCAUAAGGUCCCGAGUUUGAUCUCCAGUACCAAAAAAAAAAAAAGAAACAAUAAUUGUUUCAAAAAAUGUUAUAUAAUCCUUUUCAUUUUACCUUUAGAAGCUGUUGUCUUUCUUUGCCUGGUUGGAUACACUCACAUGUAUUCCCAUUGCAAUGUUCAUUCCAGAAUAAAUUCAUUAUCUUUGAAGAA